GCCCCAGUAGCUUAGACCGGUUAGAUCGCCUCCUUGGUAAGGAGGAGGCCGCGAGUUCAAAUCUCGCCUGGGGCUCCA
This 78-nucleotide transfer RNA is filed under the name Candidatus Thorarchaeota archaeon. Its description in RNAcentral is "tRNA-Thr". It matches the Rfam family "tRNA". From Rfam's summary of the family: Transfer RNA (tRNA) molecules are approximately 80 nucleotides in length. Their secondary structure includes four short double-helical elements and three loops (D, anti-codon, and T loops). Further hydrogen bonds mediate the characteristic L-shaped molecular structure. tRNAs have two regions of fundamental functional importance: the anti-codon, which is responsible for specific mRNA codon recognition, and the 3' end, to which the tRNAs corresponding amino acid is attached (by aminoacyl-tRNA synthetases). tRNAs cope with the degeneracy of the genetic code in two manners: having more than one tRNA (with a specific anti-codon) for a particular amino acid; and 'wobble' base-pairing, i.e. permitting non-standard base-pairing at the 3rd anti-codon position. The record is from RNAcentral. RNAcentral also lists the same sequence under 1 other name. Lineage: Archaea; Promethearchaeati; Candidatus Thorarchaeota.